RNAcentral lists this ribosomal RNA (2902 nucleotides) under Klebsiella pneumoniae. RNAcentral's name for it is "23S ribosomal RNA". It matches the Rfam family "Bacterial large subunit ribosomal RNA". Lineage: Bacteria; Pseudomonadati; Pseudomonadota; Gammaproteobacteria; Enterobacterales; Enterobacteriaceae. The record is from RNAcentral.
GGUUAAGCGACUAAGCGUACACGGUGGAUGCCCUGGCAGUCAGAGGCGAUGAAGGACGUGCUAAUCUGCGAAAAGCGUCGGUAAGGUGAUAUGAACCGUUACAGCCGGCGAUGUCCGAAUGGGGAAACCCAGUGCAAUUCGUUGCACUAUCGUUAACUGAAUACAUAGGUUAACGAGGCGAACCGGGGGAACUGAAACAUCUAAGUACCCCGAGGAAAAGAAAUCAACCGAGAUUCCCCCAGUAGCGGCGAGCGAACGGGGAGCAGCCCAGAGUCUGAAUCAGCUUGUGUGUUAGUGGAACGGUCUGGAAAGUCCGACGGUACAGGGUGAUAGUCCCGUACACCAAAAUGCACAGGCUGUGAACUCGAAGAGUAGGGCGGGACACGUGGUAUCCUGUCUGAAUAUGGGGGGACCAUCCUCCAAGGCUAAAUACUCCUGACUGACCGAUAGUGAACCAGUACCGUGAGGGAAAGGCGAAAAGAACCCCGGCGAGGGGAGUGAAAAAGAACCUGAAACCGUGUACGUACAAGCAGUGGGAGCACCUUCGGGUGUGACUGCGUACCUUUUGUAUAAUGGGUCAGCGACUUAUAUUCUGUAGCAAGGUUAACCGUAUAGGGGAGCCGCAGGGAAACCGAGUCUUAACUGGGCGUUAAGUUGCAGGGUAUAGACCCGAAACCCGGUGAUCUAGCCAUGGGCAGGUUGAAGGUUGGGUAACACUAACUGGAGGACCGAACCGACUAAUGUUGAAAAAUUAGCGGAUGACUUGUGGCUGGGGGUGAAAGGCCAAUCAAACCGGGAGAUAGCUGGUUCUCCCCGAAAGCUAUUUAGGUAGCGCCUCGUGAACUCAUCUUCGGGGGUAGAGCACUGUUUCGGCUAGGGGGUCAUCCCGACUUACCAACCCGAUGCAAACUACGAAUACCGAAGAAUGUUAUCACGGGAGACACACGGCGGGUGCUAACGUCCGUCGUGAAGAGGGAAACAACCCAGACCGCCAGCUAAGGUCCCAAAGUCAUGGUUAAGUGGGAAACGAUGUGGGAAGGCACAGACAGCCAGGAUGUUGGCUUAGAAGCAGCCAUCAUUUAAAGAAAGCGUAAUAGCUCACUGGUCGAGUCGGCCUGCGCGGAAGAUGUAACGGGGCUAAACCAUGCACCGAAGCUGCGGCAGCGACACUAUGUGUUGUUGGGUAGGGGAGCGUUCUGUAAGCCUGCGAAGGUGUGCUGUGAGGCAUGCUGGAGGUAUCAGAAGUGCGAAUGCUGACAUAAGUAACGAUAAAGCGGGUGAAAAGCCCGCUCGCCGGAAGACCAAGGGUUCCUGUCCAACGUUAAUCGGGGCAGGGUGAGUCGACCCCUAAGGCGAGGCCGAAAGGCGUAGUCGAUGGGAAACAGGUUAAUAUUCCUGUACUUGGUGUUACUGCGAAGGGGGGACGGAGAAGGCUAUGUUAGCCGGGCGACGGUUGUCCCGGUUUAAGCAUGUAGGCUGGUUGUCCAGGCAAAUCCGGAUAAUCAAGGCUGAGGUGUGAUGACGAGGUACUACGGUGCUGAAGUAACAAAUGCCCUGCUUCCAGGAAAAGCCUCUAAGCAUCAGGUAACAUUAAAUCGUACCCCAAACCGACACAGGUGGUCAGGUAGAGAAUACCAAGGCGCUUGAGAGAACUCGGGUGAAGGAACUAGGCAAAAUGGUGCCGUAACUUCGGGAGAAGGCACGCUGGUGUGUAGGUGAAGCCCCUGCGGGUGGAGCUGAGACCAGUCGAAGAUACCAGCUGGCUGCAACUGUUUAUUAAAAACACAGCACUGUGCAAACACGAAAGUGGACGUAUACGGUGUGACGCCUGCCCGGUGCCGGAAGGUUAAUUGAUGGGGUUAUCCGUAAGGAGAAGCUCUUGAUCGAAGCCCCGGUAAACGGCGGCCGUAACUAUAACGGUCCUAAGGUAGCGAAAUUCCUUGUCGGGUAAGUUCCGACCUGCACGAAUGGCGUAAUGAUGGCCAGGCUGUCUCCACCCGAGACUCAGUGAAAUUGAACUCGCUGUGAAGAUGCAGUGUACCCGCGGCAAGACGGAAAGACCCCGUGAACCUUUACUAUAGCUUGACACUGAACAUUGAGCCUUGAUGUGUAGGAUAGGUGGGAGGCUUUGAAGCGUGGACGCCAGUCUGCGUGGAGCCAACCUUGAAAUACCACCCUUUAAUGUUUGAUGUUCUAACGUUGGCCCCUGACCGGGGUUGCGGACAGUGUCUGGUGGGUAGUUUGACUGGGGCGGUCUCCUCCCAAAGCGUAACGGAGGAGCACGAAGGUUAGCUAAUCCUGGUCGGACAUCAGGAGGUUAGUGCAAUGGCAUAAGCUAGCUUGACUGCGAGCGUGACGGCGCGAGCAGGUGCGAAAGCAGGUCAUAGUGAUCCGGUGGUUCUGAAUGGAAGGGCCAUCGCUCAACGGAUAAAAGGUACUCCGGGGAUAACAGGCUGAUACCGCCCAAGAGUUCAUAUCGACGGCGGUGUUUGGCACCUCGAUGUCGGCUCAUCACAUCCUGGGGCUGAAGUAGGUCCCAAGGGUAUGGCUGUUCGCCAUUUAAAGUGGUACGCGAGCUGGGUUUAGAACGUCGUGAGACAGUUCGGUCCCUAUCUGCCGUGGGCGCUGGAGAAUUGAGGGGGGCUGCUCCUAGUACGAGAGGACCGGAGUGGACGCAUCACUGGUGUUCGGGUUGUCAUGCCAAUGGCACUGCCCGGUAGCUAAAUGCGGAAGAGAUAAGUGCUGAAAGCAUCUAAGCACGAAACUUGCCCCGAGAUGAGUUCUCCCUGAGACUUUAAGUCUCCUGAAGGAACGUUAAAGACGAUGACGUUGAUAGGCCGGGUGUGUAAGCGCAGCGAUGCGUUGAGCUAACCGGUACUAAUGAACCGUGAGGCUUAACCUU